Non-coding RNA from Stegodyphus mimosarum, 73 nucleotides. The record is from Rfam. NCBI's taxonomy places the organism in Eukaryota, Metazoa, Arthropoda, Arachnida, Araneae, Eresidae.
GCUUUCGUGGUGUAAUGGUCAGCACACUCGGUGCGUAUUCGAGAGGUGCGUGGUUCGAGUCCCGGCGAGGGCA